Molecule: long non-coding RNA, 1029 nt
Filed under: Homo sapiens (human)
Lineage: Eukaryota; Metazoa; Chordata; Mammalia; Primates; Hominidae
Description: HSALNT0317687
Source: RNAcentral
UUGAGAGAGGUCAGCGUGAGCCCCUUGCCUCACACCGGCCCCUCCCACGCUGAGAGAGGUCAGUGUGAGCCCUUGCCUCACACCGGCCCCUCCCACGCGGACAGAGGUCAGCGUGAGCCCCUUGCCUCACACCGGCCCCUCCCACGCUGAGAGAGGUCAGUGUGAGCCCUUGCCUCACCCCGGCCCCUCCCACGUGGACAGAGGUCAGCGUGAGCCCCUUGCCUCACACCGGCCCCUCCCACGCGGACAGAGGUCAGCCCGAGCUCCUUGCCUCACACCGGCCCCUCCCACGCUGAGAGAGGUCAGUGUGAGCCCUUGCCUCACACCGGCCCCUCCCACGCGGACAGAGGUCAGCGUGAGCCCCUUGCCUCACACCGGCCCCUCCCACGCUGAGAGAGGUCAGUGUGAGCCCUUGCCUCACACCGGCCCCUCCCACGCGGACAGAGGUCAGCGUGAGCCCCUUGCCUCACACCGGCCCCUCCCACGCUGAGAGAGGUCAGCCCGAGCCCCUUGCCUCACACCGGCCCCUCCCACGCUGAGAGAGGUCAGCCCGAGCCCCUUGCCUCACACCGGCCCCUCCCACGCUGAGAGAGGUGUGAGCCCCUUGUCUCACACCGGCCCCUCCCACGCGGACAGAGGUCAGCGUGAGCCCCUUGCCUCACACCGGCCCCUCCCACGCUGAGAGAGGUCAGUGUGAGCCCUUGCCUCACACCGGCCCCUCCCACGCGGACAGAGGUCAGCGUGAGCCCCUUGCCUCACACCGGCCCCUCCCACGCUGAGAGAGGUCGGUGUGAGCCCUUGCCUCACACCGGCCCCUCCCACGCGGACAGAGGUCAGCGUGAGCCCCUUGCCUCACCCCGGCCCCUCCCACGCUGAGAGAGGUCAGUGUGAGCCCUUGCCUCACACCGGCCCCUCCCACGCGGACAGAGGUCAGCGUGAGCCCCUUGCCUCACCCCGGCCCCUCCCACGCUGAGAGAGGUCAGUGUGAGCCCUUGCCUCACACCGGCCCCUCCCACGCGGACAGAGGUC